This 506-nucleotide ribosomal RNA is filed under the name uncultured bacterium. RNAcentral describes it as "bacterial SSU rRNA". It matches the Rfam family "Bacterial small subunit ribosomal RNA", at positions 15 to 507 of the family's 1533-position model. The record is from RNAcentral.
GAUCAUGGCUCAGGAUGAACGCUAGCUACAGGCUUAACACAUGCAAGUCGAGGGGAAACGACAUCGAAAGCUUGCUUUUGAUGGGCGUCGACCGGCGCACGGGUGAGUAACGCGUAUCCAACCUGCCCGUCACUUGGGGAUAACCUUGCGAAAGUAAGACUAAUACCCCAAUGAUAUCUCUAGACGACAUCUGAAAGGGAUUAAAGAUUUAUCGGUGAUGGAUGGGGAUGCGUCUGAUUAGCUUGUUGGCGGGGUAACGGCCCACCAAGGCAACGAUCAGUAGGGGUUCUGAGAGGAAGGUCCCCCACAUUGGAACUGAGACACGGUCCAAACUCCUACGGGAGGCAGCAGUGAGGAAUAUUGGUCAAUGGGCGAGAGCCUGAACCAGCCAAGUAGCGUGCAGGACGACGGCCCUAUGGGUUGUAAACUGCUUUUAUAAGGGAAUAAAGUGAGUCUCGUGAGACUUUUUGCAUGUACCUUAUGAAUAAGGACCGGCUAAUUCCGUG